AAAAUAAUAAACCGCGAAAAACAGGAGCGGCCGAAAACGCGGUGGCUCACCUGCAAAGGGACGGACGGCUGCAGCGGGCGGCCGCGGGGCGGCAAUUGGCAAAGGUGGGGGAGAAGGAGGCGCAAGGGGGAGAAGGGCACCCAAACUUUGUUUCUUUCUCUCCGGGACUCAUGGAAAGCGUCACUUCCUAGUGCGGUCCUGGCUUCCAUGCAGAACUUUUUACCAGGGAAGCUCAAGAUGUGUGGAAACAGGAGCCCAGAGAAGUGACUUACUCGUGACUGCAGACAGUAUCUGAUGCAUAACCAGGUUUCUCUGAGGAGUCCCAGAGCCUUCUCUAGCUCCUUGAAGACACAGUGGACUGAGAAAGCAAAGAAGAAAAGGUGGAGGAGGCUAAUGUACCAUAGAACAGAUACAGGAAUACACGUG
Molecule: long non-coding RNA, 426 nt
Filed under: Amazona collaria (yellow-billed parrot)
Lineage: Eukaryota; Metazoa; Chordata; Aves; Psittaciformes; Psittacidae
Description: lncRNA (ENSACOG00000007410.1)
Source: RNAcentral